AACGAGCAAGAUCCCCUGCCUCUAGUUGCUACCACCGUUUUCAGGAACGGAGGGGCUAAUUAGAGGGACCGCCGCCGCUAAGGCGGAGGAAGGAGGGGGCUACGGCAGGUCAGUAUGCCCCGAAACCCUCGGGCCACACGCGGGCUGCAAUGGUAAGGACAGCGGGUUCCGAUCCCGAAAGGGGGAGGCAAUCCUACAAACCUUACCUCAGUUAUGAUUGGGGGCUGAAACUCGCCCUCAUGAAUAUGGAAUCCCUAGUAACCGCGUGUCAUCAUCGCGCGGUGAAUACGUCCCUGCUCCUUGCACACACCGCCCGUCGCUUCACCGAAGCUGGUUCUUGGCGAGGUGGCGCCUAAUUGGCGCUAUCGAACCUGGGGUCAGCAACGGGGGAGAAG
This 395-nucleotide ribosomal RNA is filed under the name uncultured archaeon. RNAcentral describes it as "bacterial SSU rRNA". It matches the Rfam family "Archaeal small subunit ribosomal RNA", at positions 1040 to 1432 of the family's 1478-position model. The record is from RNAcentral.